This 84-nucleotide transfer RNA is filed under the name Enterococcus faecalis. Its description in RNAcentral is "tRNA-Leu". It matches the Rfam family "tRNA". From Rfam's summary of the family: Transfer RNA (tRNA) molecules are approximately 80 nucleotides in length. Their secondary structure includes four short double-helical elements and three loops (D, anti-codon, and T loops). Further hydrogen bonds mediate the characteristic L-shaped molecular structure. tRNAs have two regions of fundamental functional importance: the anti-codon, which is responsible for specific mRNA codon recognition, and the 3' end, to which the tRNAs corresponding amino acid is attached (by aminoacyl-tRNA synthetases). tRNAs cope with the degeneracy of the genetic code in two manners: having more than one tRNA (with a specific anti-codon) for a particular amino acid; and 'wobble' base-pairing, i.e. permitting non-standard base-pairing at the 3rd anti-codon position. Lineage: Bacteria; Bacillati; Bacillota; Bacilli; Lactobacillales; Enterococcaceae. The record is from RNAcentral. RNAcentral also lists the same sequence under 6 other names.
GCCGGCGUGGCGGAAUUGGCAGACGCGCUGGACUCAAAAUCCAGUAUCCGCAAGGAUGUGUGGGUUCGACUCCCACCACCGGCA